Paramuricea clavata is the source of this 278-nucleotide non-coding RNA. NCBI's taxonomy places the organism in Eukaryota, Metazoa, Cnidaria, Anthozoa, Malacalcyonacea, Plexauridae. The record is from the annotation of a GenBank genome assembly.
UACCAUAUCAUUUGCUUACCAUCAUAAAUGACAAAUAUAUAUAAUUUUGCCAUCAUGCCUGUCCCCAAACCACUGCCAGCAGGGUACUGUCCUGUGACUCCUGUCCAUGUGACCAUGCAUGUGUCCAUAUAAAAACACUCACAAACAUAUAACCCACGGAUAAAACACUCUUAUUCAGUAGUUUUGUAUCUGUUAUAAAUUCCAUCAUGUCAACUAGCCAUCUGAUUGUAAAUAUAAGUAAUAUUUUUUGACAAACCUCUUAUAUUUUGGGAUUUCAC